ACGAGUUCACACCUUGGCCGACA
This 23-nucleotide non-coding RNA is filed under the name Arabidopsis thaliana (thale cress). The record is from RNAcentral. Lineage: Eukaryota; Viridiplantae; Streptophyta; Magnoliopsida; Brassicales; Brassicaceae.